ACCCACUCCAGUAUUCUUGCCUGGAGACUCUGAUGGACAGAGGAGACUGGCGGGCUACAAUCUGUGGGGUUGCAAAGGGUCAGACAUGACUGAGCGACUAACACACACAAGCAUUUUCUGUGGAUCUCAUUUAAUCUUCACGAAAGCCCUUUGGGGCUUCAGAUCAGAAACAAUAUCAGAGGAUUGCAAAGAUAGAAAGUUGAGGGGUCAGAUGCAAAUGCAGACAGCUUGACCUGUGGUCCAAGGCCUAUGGUCCUAAUCUCCCUCCAUCCUGCCCAGCUUUCUCUCUACUGCUUUCUGUCUACAUCCACCUGGGUGCAAGGAGGCGUGUGCUUCAUCAGCAGUGAGCAAAUAACUGAGUUAAAAAUAACCUUAUCGUUUCUUGCUCUAGUUCUUGAAAGCAGUGGGUAUGAUCAUUUCAUUUUUAAAAGCCCUGUAUUCAGCUUUCUCGGUGCUCAAACAGGCACUGCUGUUUGCUUGCAAGGCACACGCUCCAGGCUUCCCAGAGCUAGAUGUGUGCUGCUCAUCUAAACCAGGAUGACUAUUCUCUUUCCUGUGCAAAUGUCUUUAAUCCAGCAGCUUCCUGCUGGGCUCCAGAAACUCCAAUCGCCCCAUACCUGGGAAGUUUGCUACAGAUGCAUUACAAGAGCCAGAUUUUAAAGUGCCUGCUAUUUGUUUUGCCUCUCACCUCCAAACAUAAUGCUUUGUUUGCAAGACAGUGACUGUUCCACAGCCAGUGAUUCCUCCAUCAUAAACACAUGGAAAAUGACUCUGGGAAUGUGGUGAGCAGCAGGAGACAGGAAUUGUGCUGCCAGCCCUUGCCGUGGGCUGUCCUGGCAUCAGAGCCCAGGCUGCAGGGCACUUGCCUCUCCGCCCACCUCUUGCUGCUCACCCAGGAGGCCCAGGCCAAAGCUUAAACCCAACAAAGGACUUAAACCCACAAAAGGACUUGCAUGUCUGCUUUUAACUCCAGUCCAGCUUUGGAGCUUGCUGUGGCUAUAUGGAAGGUCGGUGCCCAAGCCUGGGCAGGAACUGCCAGCUCCAUACAGGUAUCUGGGUCUGCACCCAGUGGGCGGUCUGUCAGGUGAGAUGAGUCUGCCAUCCUGUCCCAUCCUCGCCUGCAUCUCUGUGCAGCCGCAGUCACAGGCUCUCCAUGGACUGCUCUGGGUACCAGAGGUCUCUUCGGAAUGAUGCCUCCUUUGAAGAUAGCUGCGGGUUAUGUGAACGAAGUGCCAAGAGGCUGCCGGGAGAGAGAAGAGCCUGACUGGGCACAGAGCCAGGUCAAAAGGCAAAUCUACUGUCUCCAGUCCCUGCAACAAGGAGUGCCCAGAAAGCAGCAGUAAACCUAAGGGAACGGAGAACAUUCUGUAUAUUCUUCCAGGACUCCAUGGAGAAUCCUGAAGACCCCUUGAAGGCGAGCCUUAGCCCUGGUCUAGGGGUGGGCAUGUAACCUCGUUCUGGCUAAUUCUCAAUGUUUAUUAGAGGAAGUCACUGUGGAACACAUGGAAAGAUUUUCCUUUCCUGCUAAGAGGAAGCCAGAAGCGUUCACAGAUUGCUGGGUAUUGCUGGGAAGAGGAAUGGAGAAAAACACAGAGCACUGUCGCCCUCCACUCAGAGC
Bos taurus (domestic cattle) is the source of this 1618-nucleotide long non-coding RNA. The record is from Ensembl. NCBI's taxonomy places the organism in Eukaryota, Metazoa, Chordata, Mammalia, Artiodactyla, Bovidae.